RNAcentral lists this transfer RNA (87 nucleotides) under Planctomycetaceae bacterium. RNAcentral describes it as "tRNA-Leu". It matches the Rfam family "tRNA". Rfam says of the family: Transfer RNA (tRNA) molecules are approximately 80 nucleotides in length. Their secondary structure includes four short double-helical elements and three loops (D, anti-codon, and T loops). Lineage: Bacteria; Pseudomonadati; Planctomycetota; Planctomycetia; Planctomycetales; Planctomycetaceae. The record is from RNAcentral.
GGCCCGGUGGCGGAAUAGGCAGACGCUGGGGACUUAAAAUCCCUUGGCCGCAAGGUCGUGAGGGUUCGAUUCCCUCCCGGGCCACCA